CAACUACUCCCUCUGUCCCAAAUUUCUUGUCUUAGAUUUGUCUAGAUACGGAUGUAUCUAAUACUAAAAUGUGACAUGAUACAUCCGUAUCUAGACAAAUCUAAGACAAGAAUUUUGGGACGGAGGGAGUACUUU
This is a non-coding RNA of Triticum aestivum (bread wheat), 135 nucleotides long. The record is from Rfam. NCBI's taxonomy places the organism in Eukaryota, Viridiplantae, Streptophyta, Magnoliopsida, Poales, Poaceae.